Molecule: non-coding RNA, 125 nt
Organism: Lentinus tigrinus ALCF2SS1-7
Lineage: Eukaryota; Fungi; Basidiomycota; Agaricomycetes; Polyporales; Polyporaceae
Source: the annotation of a GenBank genome assembly
GGCCGCCUGGCGUAAUGGAAGCGCGUCUGACUACGACUGAGGUCCUAUUUAGGAAGGGUCCACCUUCCCAACAAGGCACUUGUCACGUGAUCAGGAGGUUGCAGGUUCGACCCCUGCGGUGGUCA